AGUUUGUCGUAGUUUAUUGUGGGAACCGAAAUUCACACCGUCGAGUUUUGUUAAUCGGAGGAAAGCCAAGUUAACCUAGCCUUCCUUGAAGGUCCCGGUUAUUUGCUGGGCCACGCACAACACAAUCAAUAUGAAAGAUUCGAAAGUAAUAAAUCGUAAAAGAGCGAAAAGAGAACAAAGAGGUCUUAUUUCCGAAUUCGCGUUUGAGCGUGAACAACAGGUGAGAUCCUAGGCCACGAGAGCUGUCGGUAUGUUCGCUAGUAGUCUAGCCACCUAAGUUCUAACCUAGUCGAGUCGCAGCUCGAUAGUAAAAACGGAAAAAUGCCUAAAUUGCUCUAAGUAUUAAGUUUGCUGGUAGAAUGCUCUCCGUCCUAGGUCCUCCUUAUAUACUCCUCCUUAGGUCAGUUUACCUCUUCUCGGGCCGGAUUUGUCGUGAAGCGGGCUUUUCCAUAUUUCCUUCUUCUUUGUGAUUAUCUUCGGAAAUUUGACAUUUAUCUCUUCCCGCGGAUGCGAUAAACAGUCAUACCAGUUUUUGGGUUCAAGUCUUUUGGGACCAAAGAUGGGCCGUUGUCCGCAAUUCGGACCCUCUUUGGGCCGUAUCAAGACUUUAGCGUUCUUAUGAUUUUACUCGUGAAGUAGCCGUUGGUAUAGGAAUGGUUCUUCCAACGGAACCCUGUUUCUUCGCAUAGCCGAGGCAGUUGGUGUUAAGUUAACCGUAGCCUGCUCUACUACGAAGAAUAGGAAACUGUUCGAGAGACAUAACGUUCCCAACUUCCCGAAUACUUUCGACAAUGUUUUUUAGACGGAACAUUGGUGUCGUAUCCACGGACCCGAAGACUGAGUUACGGAAACUUCGGACGAAGAUGCAUGGUUAUGGGAUGGGACCGGGUUCGGAAUGGUCCACGGAGAAUUGGCAGCGGUCGCCGGGCGAGCCGAUCCGCGGCACGAUUGAGCGAGCCGACCGGCAACACGGACGUGCUCACCGGGAGAGCUGGCCCGUGUCACGGCCGAGCUCGCCGGCGAGUCGACCGGCAACGUGGCCAUGCUCGCCGGGCGAUCUGGCCCGUGUCACGCCCGAGCUCUCCGGCGACUCGACUGGCAACGCGGCCGUGCUCGCCGGGCGAGCUGGCCCGUGUCACGGCCGAGCUCGCCGGCGACUCGACCGGCAUCACGUUCGUGCUUGCCGGGCGAGCUGUCCCGUGUCGCGGCCGAGCUCGCCGGGUGAUCCGUUUCGGCUAUUCGUUUUCUUGGCUUUUGAAGUUUUGACCAAGAUUCGGUUUUUCCAAGGACUUUCGGACAUCGAUUCCGUCGUGACCGAUUUUGACCCCAACAGUUAGCCCCCCAGCUAGCUAGGAUCCGUGGACCUGGGUGUUAGGUCCUAGCUUGUGGUAUGGUCUGUUCUAGGUGGAAUUUAGACGUAAUCGUUUGUCGAAAGAUCGAAGGUGAAUAGUAAAAAAGAAAAAAAAUUGUAUAAGUAAGGGAAGUAAGUUUUUCAAAUUCUUUACUCACUUCUUUCCUUAAGAAAAGAUUUCUCCAAGAUAGGAAUUUUUUUCUCCAAGAUCUCUCUUUGCUCAAAGAAAAUGCCUUCAAGAAAAGGAUCUUCAAAGAGGAAUUCUUCCUCACGCUCAUCUUCGGGUGACUCUUCUGCCAAUGAGGUGAUCGCCCCGAAAGAAGAGUUUGAAGUUGAGGAAGAAGCAAAGGAUGCGUACUACAAAGCUCUUUGCGGCUCGCCUCCGCCUUCGCAAGACAUUCUGAUUCCUAAGAGGCCCGUGAGGUCGCCAAACGCACCCCUUGCACCGAGCAUGGUCUCUUCCGACUACCUCACGACUCUCAGGGACUUUUACCAGAUCCCAAGUGGAGUCGUAUUUCGGAUCCCGAACUGCAACGAGAGUGCGAAGAACCCUCCGGAAGGUUUCUUUACUUGCUACGAGGCCUUUCUGGUGUAUUGCCGUAUGUGGUUUCCGAUCCCUGUUACCAACGUCCGCGCGCUUCGCCACUUUUGGCUUUCGAUCAGCCAGCUAAGCGUUCCGGCCUUGCAGCAUUGGCUGGGCAUGUUGAUCUUGAGUUACGAGCUAGGAAUGGACCUUAACCCUGGCGACCUCGAGGGAUUUUGGUCUACGAGAGGAACGGGGAUCGAUGGCUCAUACCGCAUGGCGCCAAAGAAGGGUAUAGCUAUAAUUCAGGGGCACACUUCACAUCCUAAGGCAUGGUUCGAGCGCUUUUCCUUUGUCCGGAUAGAUGGGGAGUCUGUCGAGGAGAGCUACCUCCACCUAUUCCGUCGGGAGUGGAACUUCACCCGUGGUAAUACGAAUAGCUAUAUUUUUCGUUUUGAUACCUUAAAAACAUACGAAGACGUUUUUUUAUUAUCUUGCAGUGAACAGGAUCCUUCCGCCGACUCAUGCCGAUCUUUUUGCCAAGUGAGAUCUCCUCCGCAGCAGGCCGUUCUUCUGGAAUUCCUUUACCGUCGAACGGAUUCGAAGCGCGGUGGAGCUCCAUCGAUCUCGAGCCGUCUCUCAGCCUCUGGACGUUCCGUAUGGCGUAGAAUCGGUCAUUGAUGUCUUGCCUACUCAGAGGCAGAAAAUCAGGUCUCAGAAAGGCAAGGGAGUUGCCUCCGAGAAAGUUGCCUCCGAGAACGUCUUGGGAAACCUUCCACUGCCAGAAUGGAACCCUGGUUUCUCCCCAGGGGAAAGGAGUGGAACCAGCGAGGUUCCCCUUCCCAGCGACUUUUUUCCCGAACUUCCUCCCGGUUUUACUACUCAUAAGUCGUUGGACGAAGAGUCGAGGAGGAAAGUAGUCGCCGAAGGCUCCAGCCAGCUUAGUCAACGAGGUUUAUCCUUUGAACUUUGAUCUAAAUUAUGUUUUUUUUUGUUUCCCUUUCCGAUCUUAAGUUCGUGCAGGGGAUGAGGGUGUUCAAUGCGGCGCUCGACGAUUUCCGAUCUUAAGUUUGUGUAGGGGAUGAGGGUGUUUAAUGCGGCGCUCGAUAGAAGUUUCCGGGAGUCGCGUAUCUCUCACUUCAAAGCCGAGGAGGCUGAAAGGGAACUCUUUCGGUUUCGGAAGGAGGUCGAAGAACAGAGCCGGAGACAGGCUGAGCUCCAUUCUCGGGCCCUUGUCCGUGCGGAGAGGAGAGGAAAGAGAGCGAUUGUCGCCGAAAUGAAGCGGAGGGCUGCUUUGUUUGCCAGCGAAUUCGAGAGCUUUAAGGAUGCUCAAAAAUUCGUGGGCGAUUUUCGCGAGUGCCGUGGCUCGGUCGCUACCCUCUACGAGUCGCACAAAGAGGACUUUUCUUUUCCUGCUGAUACAAGUCGCAGAACGAGGACUUCUCUUUUCCUGCCGAGGUCGCCGAGAUGUCGGGUCUUAUGAACGGGUGUGCCCAUGCCGAAUCCUUGGUUCCUCCGAUCGAAGGAAGGGUCCGACAGCUUUGGAACUCCAUCGAGGUCUCGGAGGACACGGCAGAAGCGGGAACCGGUGUCGGUGAUGAAGGUGCCGGAGUUGCGGACGGAGAGGUGGAUCAGCCCGUGAGCUCGUUCGGGAUCUCCAUGUCCGGGUUCCUCGACUUCGAGCUUUGAGGAUUGUUGGGAUUAUUUCCCUUAGUUUUAUUUCGAGGUUUGAUGUAUCUAGGCCGAGUGUGGCCGUAUUUUAUUUAUGUGUGUUAUGGCCUUGCGAGGCUAUGUUAACUAUGUGUUUGAGACCGGCCGUUUGGUGGCUUUGGGUCCUAGCCAUUUUUUGCGGCUUCUAUAUAUAUGAUGAAUGAUUGACAUUCUGUGCGUUUUAGUUUAUACUUCUGCCAAGUGUGAGGGAAAGAUACGAGUAGUCACUUCGUAUCUUAACUCUUAGUUUAUCGUCUUGUUCGUUUGCUCUUACUGAACGAGGGCGUUCGAAAACGUUUAGGAGUUUCGCGAAGUUUCGUGAGCGUAUUAGAUAUAGACGAUGGGAUAUGUUUUUAAGAUCUCGUAUCAUGUCUUGAGAUGUUAGUGGACCAGUAGGACUGGGUUUAGGGCAAGACCUAGGUUUACUUUCGGCUCUAAGGCUGUGCGACGACUGAUCGGCUCUCGUUUUGCAUGUGGGCGAUUUCCACCUGGUUCUUUCCGAUUUAAAGUCCGUGACUUGGCGCCGGCUUAUAUGACUUGUAUGGAACGAACCGAGCACUCUCCAGAGACCGUCUGGAGUGCUGACCAAAAUUUCGGAUUUCUUGUAUAGCGCGCUAUGGUAUCCUCGUCGGAUGUAAGAGAACCUUUACUUUUACGAAAGGUUAGACUACGAGUUCUUUUUUUAGAGCGUUUUUGGGUUUAUCCGUCGGGGCCAAUCGACGGGCAAUUUUUAGAGUCGCGGACGGACCGUGUGUUUGGGUAAUGUCUCUCAAAAAUAUUUACGACGUCUCGCUUUUUCCGAAAGGUAUAUCCUUUCUAGUGAGAAAGUUACGAUCUUCGUUUUUAGAGAAGAUGUAUUUUGUCUUGCUUGACCAUUGAUAUGUUGUGAUUGUUGUUUAAGUUAGUUCCCAUCCAAGGACUGCUUGAAAGGUAUGCGUGUUUGGAGACCCUUGUCUUGGGUGUUUCUUAGGUUAAUCUCCGAUUGUUGUGGCUUAUUGGAAGUGAAUCGGGAGACCGUAAUAAAAUGAGUUUUAUUGGAAAAGUUUCGAAAAUAUCGAGUACAUGUGUGGAUAUUCCGAACUUUGUGGGAGUAUACGAGUAUACGAGUAUACGUACCCACUCCCCCCCCCCCUUUUGGAGAGGGGGAUAGCUGAACUUGUCAAUAGGACAAGCUGCCUACGUACCUCUUUCGAGGAUCAAGCCAUCUCGUAGUUCUGCUUUGUUGUUGCGGGCGUUCCUACUCGUUGGAUAGGGCCGUUUCUGCUACUUCGGCCGUUCAGGCUUUAGUUAAAUCGGCGGCCGUUUCGUGAGUCGGGUUUUCUGCUGGUAGGGCGAUGGACUCCGGGAUCGCGUCGCUGUCCGGAGCCGUUGCCUGGGCAAGUGAUUCCGAAUCGCUCUUCGUGGAACCUUCGGGAGUACUCUGAGUUUUCUUGACUCGCUUUGGGCUAACCGUAGGGGUGUUCCGAGUUUGUCGUAGCUUAUGCUCGGCCAAAAAGCAGAGCCUAGAUUGUUUCUGGCAUCCGAAGAUUACUGCUGUUCCGUUUGGUGUUGGGAACUUGAUGCUAAGGUGGUAAGUCGACGGUACCGCCUUCAUUGCGUUGAUCCAUGGGGUUCCCAUGAUAACAUUAUAGAUGGCUGGAUUAUCAGCGAAGUCAACGAUUUUCGUGACUUCCUUUGCCUUGACCGGAAGUUUGAUCGAUCCGAGGGUCAUUGAUGUUGUGCCCGAAAAACCGGUCAGUGGUUUUGGUUCCGGGAUGAUUUCCCGAGUUCGAUGUUCAUUCUCCUGAAUCGUUCUCGGUUUUUCGAGGGAUACCCAUUGCCGGAAUUUCGACCGGUACCAGAGAGUUUUCUUCAGAGCAUCGAUCGCCACUUUGUCGCUGAUCCCGGUGACUCUUGCCAUUACUAGCUUGAAUCUGUUCCUGAACUCGCGAAGUGGGUCGUCUUCUCUUUGAGACAGGCUCCAGAGAUCGAUGUCCGAGGUUUCUCUAUCCAUGAACAUGGAAUACUGCUUGAGAAACUCUGAAGCAAGUUGGCGGAAACUUCCGAUGGAAUUUUGUUUUAGGCGAGAAAACCAUUCGAGCGCGACUCCUUUGAGGUUUUCGACGAAGAGGAGGCAGUAGCCAGCGUCUCGUUCGCGUUCCUUGAGUUUUCACCUCCCCAUCGCGAUCUGGAAAGACUGCAGGUGCGCUUUCAGGUCGGUGGUGCCAUCGUAGAUGGGAAUUUUGAUCUUCCCCGGGUCCGAGACGUUGGUCUCAGUAAUCCGGACAGUGAACGGGGUUUUGCGUGCUUCCUCGAGAAGUCUAUCGAUCUCGGGCGCAGCGCUUGUCGCGUGGUGGAUUUGUGAUUUCACCGCUUUCACCUCCGCUGCGGUUUUCGCGAUGUACUCGCGGAGAUCGUGGAUCUCAUCAGGAUUUCUGGCAGCCUUGCGAGCUUGUCUCCUCAUGUUCUACCCAAUAGAGGUUUUCUUCUUCCUCGGUCAUGGGUUUUUCGAAGGACGCAUCCUGCCGAGCGGACUGGCUUCGCGUUCUUCUUGGGUGGAUGUCAGCACUGUCGUCCGAGUGCUCGGACUGGUCGCUUAUAUCCAGGCCGAUGCGCUCGAUUUCUUCUCCUUCGUUGCUCCCGGUAGGAGGUGGAAGGUUCUCCGCAGUUGGCUGUGCACCUGGCUGGAGCAUUUCAUCAGGGUUUUGGCCUGAGGAAGCCUUGUCCGCGUGUGCAGCUCGAUUGCCCGGAGUUUCGAAAUCAAGUCUUCUGCCGCUGCGGGAUCUUGUGGUUCAGCGCGGGGCUUUGCUCCUGGCCUUCGCCGUUAAGGUUUCCACCUGUUUUGCGAGAGAGGCCACGAGUUUUCCUUGUCCGUCCGUCUUUUUUUGAGCGGAGGCGAACAUUUCCUUCAUCUGGUCUAGUAUCACGGCGUCGGCAGUGACCGUUGAUACGUUUCCAGCUGGAGUUUUAUCAGCGUUGGCAUCGACGGGAGUCCCGUCGUGCGUUAGCGGGUCUUUGUCAGCGUUGGUCAUCAUAUCGGACUGAGCGUGUGUGGUUGCGAGAGAGAUAGAUCUGUACCCCCCUCCUUCUAGCGCCAAACUGUGGGAACCGAAAUUCACACCGUCGAGUUUUGUUAAUCGAAGGAAAGCCAAGUUAACCUAGCCUUCCCUGAAGGUCUCGGUUAUCUGCUGGGCCACGCACAACACAAUCAAUAUGAAAGAUUCGAAAGUAAUAAAUCGUGAAAGAGCGAAAAGAGAACAAAGAGGUCUUAUUUCCGAAUUCGCGUUUGAGCGUGAACAGCAAGUGAGAUCCUAGGCCACGAGAGCUGUCGGUAUGUUCGCUAGUCUAGCCACCUAAGUUCUAACCUAGUCGAGUCGCAGCUCGAUAGUAAAAAUGGAAAAAUGCCUAAAUUGCUCUAAGUAUUAAGUUUGCUCUUAGAAUGCUCUCCGUCCUAGGUCCUCCUUAUAUACUCCUCCUUAG
Molecule: long non-coding RNA, 7043 nt
Filed under: Brassica napus (rape)
Lineage: Eukaryota; Viridiplantae; Streptophyta; Magnoliopsida; Brassicales; Brassicaceae
Description: long non-coding RNA (BNAP_LNC026051)
Source: RNAcentral